UACGAAGGGGGCUAGCGUUGCUCGGAAUCACUGGGCGUAAAGCGCACGUAGGCGGCUUCUUAAGUCAGGGGUGAAAUCCUGGAGCUCAACUCCAGAACUGCCUCUGAUACUGAGGAGCUCGAGUCCGGGAGAGGUGAGUGGAACUCCGAGUGUAGAGGUGAAAUUCGUAGAUAUUCGCAAGAACACCAGUGGCGAAGGCGGCUCACUGGCCCGGUACUGACGCUGAGGUGCGAAAGCGUGGGGAGCAAACAGG
Molecule: ribosomal RNA, 253 nt
Filed under: uncultured bacterium
Lineage: Bacteria
Description: partial 16S ribosomal RNA
Rfam family: Bacterial small subunit ribosomal RNA
Source: RNAcentral